Long non-coding RNA from Thalassophryne amazonica, 153 nucleotides. RefSeq lists it as uncharacterized. The record is from RefSeq and is a predicted model, not a curated record. The transcript has 3 exons. Lineage: Eukaryota; Metazoa; Chordata; Actinopteri; Batrachoidiformes; Batrachoididae.
UCACUUUCAUUCCCCUUCUCUCUAGAGCAUACCUCCACCUUUACAGGUUAGACUCAACCUGUUCUCUACUCUCACUACAGAUCACAAUGUCAUCUGCAAACAUCAUAGUCCAUGGAGACUCCUGUCUGAUCUCGUCCAUCAACCUGUCCAUCA